CCUACGGGAGGCAGCAGUAGGGAAUCUUCCACAAUGGGCGAAAGCCUGAUGGAGCAACGCCGCGUGGGUGAAGAAGGUCUUCGGAACGUAAAACCCUGUUGUUAGAGAAGAAAGGGCGUGAGAGUAACUGUUCACGUUUCGACGGGAUCUAACCAGAAAGCCACGGCUAACUACGGGCCAGCAGCCGCGGUAAUACGUAGGUGGCAAGCUUUAUCCGGAUUUAUUGGGCGUAAAGGGAACGCAGGUGGUCUUUUAAGUGUGAUGUGAAAGGCUUCGGCCUAACCGGGGUAGUGCAGUGGAAACUGGGAGGCUUGAGUGCAGAAGAGGGAAGUGGAACUCCAUGUGUAGCGGUGAAAUGCGUAGAUAUAUGGAAGAACACCAGUGGCGAAGGCGGCUCUCUGGUCUGUAACUGACGCUGAGGUACGAAAGCGUGGGUAGCGAACAGGAUUAGAUACCCCGGUAGUC
RNAcentral lists this ribosomal RNA (465 nucleotides) under uncultured bacterium. Its description in RNAcentral is "partial 16S ribosomal RNA". It matches the Rfam family "Bacterial small subunit ribosomal RNA", at positions 338 to 795 of the family's 1533-position model. The record is from RNAcentral.